RNAcentral lists this ribosomal RNA (465 nucleotides) under uncultured bacterium. RNAcentral describes it as "partial 16S ribosomal RNA". It matches the Rfam family "Bacterial small subunit ribosomal RNA", at positions 338 to 795 of the family's 1533-position model. The record is from RNAcentral.
CCUACGGGGAGCAGCAGUAGGGAAUCUUCCACAAUGGGCGAAAGCCUGAUGGAGCAACGCCGCGUGGGUGAAGAAGGUCUUCGGAUCGUAAAACCCUGUUGUUAGAGAAGAAAGUGCGUGAGAGUAACUGUUCACGUGUCGACGGUAUCUAACCAGAAAGCCACGGCUAACUACGUGCCAGCAGCCGCGGUAAUACGUAGGUGGCAAGCGUUAUCCGGAUUUAUUGGGCGUAAAGGGAACGCAGGCGGUCUGUUAAGUCUGAUGUGAUAGCCUUCGGCUUAACCGGGGUAGUGCAGUGGAAACUGGGAGACUUGAGUGAAGAAGAGGAGAGUGGAACUCCAUGUGUAGCGGUGAAAUGCGUAGAUAUAUGGAAGAACACCAGUGGCGAACGCGGCUGUCUGGUCUGUAACUGACGCUGAGGUUCGAAAGCGUGGGUAGCAAACAGGAUUAGAUACCCUAGUAGUC